AAGGGGGGAYCUURGUACCUCUCGCUACAGGGRCGGCCGAUGGCAGAUUAGCUAGUKGGUGGGGUAAAGCCCUACCAAGGCGACGAUCUGUAGCUGGYCUGAGAGGACGACCAGCCASACUGGGACUGAGACACGGCCCAGACCCUACGGGAGGCAGCAGUGGGGAAUUUUGGACAAUGGGGGCAACCCUGAUCCAGCAAUGCCGCGUGUGUGAAGAAGGCCUUCGGGUUGUAAAGCACUUUUGUCCGGAAAGAAAUCCUGUGGGCUAAUACCCUGUGGGGAUGACGGUACCGGAAGAAUAAGCACCGGCUAACUACGUGCCAGCAGCCGCGGUAAUACGUAGGGUGCAAGCGUUAAUCGGAAUUACUGGGCGUAAAGCGUGCGCAGGCGGUCCGCUAAGACAGAUGUGAAAUCCCCGGGCUUAACCUGGGAACUGCAUUUGUGACUGGCGGGCUAGAGUAUGGCAGAGGGGGGUAGAAUUCMACGUGUAGCAGUGAAAUGCGUAGAGAUGUGGAGGAAUACCGAUGGCGAAGGCAGCCCCCUGGGCCAAUACUGACGCUMAUGCACGAAAGCGUGGGGAGCAAACAGGAUUAGAUACCCUGGUAGUCCACGCCCUAAACGAUGUCAACUAGUUGUCGGGUCYWMAUUVACUUGGUAACGUACUAA
This 666-nucleotide ribosomal RNA is filed under the name Paraburkholderia phenazinium. Its description in RNAcentral is "bacterial SSU rRNA". It matches the Rfam family "Bacterial small subunit ribosomal RNA", at positions 202 to 854 of the family's 1533-position model. Lineage: Bacteria; Pseudomonadati; Pseudomonadota; Betaproteobacteria; Burkholderiales; Burkholderiaceae. The record is from RNAcentral.